AUGUGUAAGAGAAGCAUGUAAGGCAAGAUGAUGAUGAUUUUUUUUCUUUUAAUAUUCAAAAAGGGAUAUUUAUCUAUUAUUUGGUAAUUGAUAGAGUUAUGUUCUCUGUAAAGUAGGAAUAAUAAAAUGUUUGUAAGAAUGCUAUCUAUUUUUAAAGCCCAGUGUCAGUGAAGAUGGUGUGGUCAUUGGAAUUCUACAUCUUCCAGUAUUCUUCUACAAUGUUUGCCUGAUGAUUUAGGAAUUGUUUUGGACUUCCCUGCCUCAUUGGAACAUCUCCGUUCACACACUGUGGAGAGAUAGUGAGCAGCUUCAUGACAAGUUUAGUGCCGAUGGAGAGCAAGUUCAUUUGGAGUUCUUUUUUUUUUUUUUUUAUUAGUUAGUUAAUUAAUUAAUUAAUUAAUUUAGUCAAACUUGCAUUCACUCAUGAUGGAGUAAGAUUUUAGAAGAAAACUUUCAAUCCUGUUUAAUGUUGGUGCUAGUAAAGGUUUGAGAAUUAUUGGCCUGGUUUCACAGACAGGGCUUGGACUAAGUCAGGAUCAUAGUUCAGUAAGGACUUUUAUGUAUUUUUCAUUAACAUGCCUUAGAAAAAAACAGUACUGGCUUGCAUCUUGAGACAAAACAAAGGCACUGGUAUUUUUAAAGAUCAGUGAGAACAGUUGAAACAGCUCAGAAUUACAUUUUAGUCUGGGGUUGGUCUUAAGCCUUGUCUGUAAAACCAGGGGUACAAGUAUCCCACUUUGGUAAUGUUUUACAAUAAGGUCUCGUUUGUUGUACAUUGAAUGAUACUUUUUUAAAUGAAUGAUAAUCUUUAUUUAUUUAUUUAUUUGUAUUAAGUGUGUGUCUGUCUGUGUGUUAGUAAUCAUAUAUGUUAUGGCGACCAAAUGACUCCACAAGGAUAGUAAUACCAGUAUAUUUUGAAAUUUCUAGGUCCCCAAUAAGUGGAAAUUAGCAUUUUUCUCCAUACUCUUUCUUAUAAGUUGAAGUGUUGUGACUGUAUAGUGUUGGGUUUUUCUUGUCCAUCAGCAAAAACAUUUUUGUGUAUUUGUUUGAGAGAUUGUUUUGUCAAUGAAUGUAUGGGUUUUCGAUUUUGUGUUGUUGCAUUGAUUGUAUCUAGGUUAUUAAGAGGUUAUUAGAUAUAUGACAUUGAAGUAUAUUUUAGUUCACAUUAAUUGCUUAUUUACCAUAUUUCAAAUUACAUAUAAAAUAUAAUAAAAAAAAUAUCAUUCAAAAGUUAAA
Long non-coding RNA from Carassius gibelio (silver crucian carp), 1236 nucleotides. RefSeq lists it as uncharacterized. The transcript has 2 exons. Lineage: Eukaryota; Metazoa; Chordata; Actinopteri; Cypriniformes; Cyprinidae. The record is from RefSeq and is a predicted model, not a curated record.